CUGUACUAAGGUAGCAUAAUAAUUUGCCCUAUAAAUUGGGGCUAGAAUGAAUGGUUUGACGAGAAUUUAACUGUCUCUAUUUUAUUUAUUAGAAAUUAAUUUUUAUAGUGAAAAAGCUUUAAUUAUUUAAAGGGACGAAAAGACCCUAUUGAGCUUUUGUUAUUAUAUAGAUAUAUAUAUAUAUAUAUAUAUAUAAUUUAUUUGUAAAUAACUUUGGUUGGGGUGAUCAAGGAAUAAAAUUAAUUUAAAGUAUUGUAUUAACUUCCUUAAUUUUGAGUUUAGUUGAAGAAUAAACCAAGUUUUUUGCUUAGAAGAUAAGUUACCAUAGGGAUAACAGCGUAAUUUUUUUUGAGAGUUCAUAUUGAAAAAAGAGAUUGCGACCUCGAUGUU
This 390-nucleotide ribosomal RNA is filed under the name Octopus vulgaris (common octopus). RNAcentral describes it as "partial 16S ribosomal RNA". It matches the Rfam family "Bacterial large subunit ribosomal RNA", at positions 1946 to 2533 of the family's 2925-position model. The record is from RNAcentral. Lineage: Eukaryota; Metazoa; Mollusca; Cephalopoda; Octopoda; Octopodidae.